Long non-coding RNA from Rhodamnia argentea, 145 nucleotides. RefSeq lists it as uncharacterized. The transcript has 3 exons. NCBI's taxonomy places the organism in Eukaryota, Viridiplantae, Streptophyta, Magnoliopsida, Myrtales, Myrtaceae. The record is from RefSeq and is a predicted model, not a curated record.
UUGCAACAACAGAUCUACCACCAUUAACCAGGCAGGAAGAGCUGCACGAAAGGAGCUUGAAAUUACCCCGUGGGAGGGUCUGCAAGCCGAUGGCACAGCGUUCCCCUGGCGAAGAUCACGCAUGUUGAAGGAACUUCAAAGCCAC